CGCCCUGACUCCCUGGACACCGUUCCCUUGGAGCCUCGGAGCCCCCCCUGGUGUCCCCUGGGUGAUGGUCCUGGACAAGAGGGCUGGGAAGAAGCGGGCAGCAAGGGGAGGAUUCUGCCCCAGACGUCCCCAGGCCGGGGGUCCCCAUGGGCUCUGCCCUGACGUCUUACUCCUGCACCCAGCGGCUCCCACCACAGAGACUGCUCCAGUUGCAGGUUAGACCCCACUUGCGGUUGUGUGUUCCAGAAGUCUCCGGGCGCUGUGUGGCAGGAUGAGGAGCUGCCCCCCUGGAGGAUCACGCAGGCCUCUGGGUGGCAUUCAGCAGGGUUGGCUGCGGCACCGGCUGACCACAGGGCCCACCUUUCCAGUCCCGGCAGGAGAGAAGCGUCUCAACCAUGUUGCAGGCACACGGGUGAGGGUGCUGCCUGCCUCCCUGACUCUUACCUCCCCAAGAGAGGAAAACAAAAGAAAAAAA
RNAcentral lists this long non-coding RNA (475 nucleotides) under Homo sapiens (human). Its description in RNAcentral is "ADGRA1 antisense RNA 1 (ADGRA1-AS1)". The record is from RNAcentral. Lineage: Eukaryota; Metazoa; Chordata; Mammalia; Primates; Hominidae.